ACAGUUCACAUUCGGACUUUUGCCGGCUUGGCUGAUUGGCUGGCUCUUUGCAAUUGCAGAGAUGCCAGAUGCGGACGUUUUUAAUUGCAAAAACUGAAAAUGGCAAUGUUGGCCUUGCUCGUUAUUUUCAAGAUGGCUGCUGACAGUCUGACAGCCACGACCUAGCCUCGACCCCAUACAUCUGACAGCCUCGACCUAAGUCAACUCAACUUACUCAACUUAUUUUCCUAGCAUUAUUCGUCAUAAAAAUGAUAACUUAGUCUACAAGUUAUACUUGGCAAUUCCACCUGAUCAUGUGGCCUGUAAGGCUGUAACUGCAGUUUCCCAAAAUGUCGUCCCUUGUUGCACGUAUCGGUUGUGCGUUUCGUCACAUGUAGAAAUAUAUUCACAACAGUAAAACAUGGUGAAGUCUGAGCUUCUUCAUUGCAGUCCAAUGCGCUGUGCAGUGCAAUUUGUUGCAGCCAGCUGGCGAAAGGUGUUCCUCUUGCAGGAUUAACAGUCUCUUGAGGUGUGAGCCUCUUUGUUAUGGUCCAAUGUGUACAUGAAUUUCGUGCAGUCAGCUAGUGAACGGUGUGGUGAGCUGUUGCAUGCAGACUGUGGUGCUGGUGUAACUGUAUUGCUUCCUGUACUGUCGUUGAGAAGUUGGUUGUGACGUUUCUCACGAUGAAAAUUAAAAGGUGAUUUAGCACAUAGAAACCAAUUUGCCAAAUCAUUCAACUCAGACUUGGGAAGUGCCUGUACAUUUCCGAAAUGGCGUGCCUCGUGUGUCUCGCUGCCUGUUCUUUGGCUUACGUCUCACCCCAUUCAACAGGAAAAAGUAAAACAAACGCUGGUGGUUACCUGGUUGCAGCCAAAUGGUGAAAGGUGCGACAAAGACAG
Molecule: long non-coding RNA, 879 nt
Filed under: Daphnia pulex (common water flea)
Lineage: Eukaryota; Metazoa; Arthropoda; Branchiopoda; Diplostraca; Daphniidae
Description: uncharacterized LOC124202025, transcript variant X5
Source: RNAcentral